This 253-nucleotide ribosomal RNA is filed under the name uncultured bacterium. RNAcentral's name for it is "partial 16S ribosomal RNA". It matches the Rfam family "Bacterial small subunit ribosomal RNA", at positions 524 to 776 of the family's 1533-position model. The record is from RNAcentral.
UACGAGGGGGGCGAGCGUUGUUCGGAAUUAUUGGGCGUAAAGGGUGCGUAGGCGGUUUGGUAAGUCUUAUGUGAAAUCUAUGGGCUCAACUCAUAGUCUGCAUGAGAAACUGCCGGGCUUGAGUAUGGGAGAGGUGAGUGGAAUUCCUGGUGUAGCGGUGAAAUGCGCAGAUAUCAGGAGGAACACCAAUGGCGAAGGCAGCUCGCUGGGACGGUACUGACGCUGAGACGCGAAAGCGUGGGGAGCAAACAGG